Molecule: ribosomal RNA, 563 nt
Filed under: uncultured bacterium
Lineage: Bacteria
Description: bacterial SSU rRNA
Rfam family: Bacterial small subunit ribosomal RNA
Source: RNAcentral
CCUACGGGAGGCAGCAGCAGGGAAUCUUGGGCAAUGGGCGCAAGCCUGACGCAGCGACACCGCGUGGGGGAAGAAGGCCUCAGGGUUGUAAACCCCUUUUCUGUGGGAAGAGAUAGGACGGUACCACAGGAAUAAGCAUCGGCUAACUACGUGCCAGCAGCCGCGGUAAUACGUAGGAUGCAAGCGUUGUCCGGAUUUACUGGGCGUAAAGGGUGUGUAGGCGGCAUGUUAAGUCUCAUGUGAAAUCUCCCGGCUCAACUGGGAGGGGUCAUGGGAAACUGGUAAGCUGGAGGGCAGCAGAGGAAAGCGGAAUUCCGGGAGUAGUGGUGGAAUGCGUAGAUACCCGGAGGAACACCAGAGGCGAAGGCGGCUUUCUGGGCUGUACCUGACGCUGAGACGCGAAAGCGUGGGGAGCGAACCGGAUUAGAUACCCGGGUAGUCCACGCCCUAAACGAUGGAUACUAGAUAUAGGGGGUAUUGACCCCUCCUGUGUCGGAGUUAACGCGAUAAGUAUCCCGCCUGGGGAGUACGGCCGCAAGGCUAAAACUCAAAGGAAUUGACGG